GGGGAAGUGCUGGAACUGGCAGACAGGCGUGACUUAGGAUCACGUGCCGCGAGGCGUGCGGGUUCGAGUCCCGCCUUCCCCA
RNAcentral lists this transfer RNA (82 nucleotides) under Thermanaerothrix daxensis. It matches the Rfam family "tRNA". From Rfam's summary of the family: Transfer RNA (tRNA) molecules are approximately 80 nucleotides in length. Their secondary structure includes four short double-helical elements and three loops (D, anti-codon, and T loops). Lineage: Bacteria; Bacillati; Chloroflexota; Anaerolineae; Anaerolineales; Anaerolineaceae. The record is from Rfam by way of RNAcentral.